This is a long non-coding RNA of Pan troglodytes (chimpanzee), 924 nucleotides long. RefSeq lists it as uncharacterized. NCBI's taxonomy places the organism in Eukaryota, Metazoa, Chordata, Mammalia, Primates, Hominidae. The record is from RefSeq and is a predicted model, not a curated record. The transcript is spliced from 7 exons.
AAAGGUGGCUUCCACAGUGCAUAGUGGUUAUCAGCUGUGCCUCCCUCUUAGAGGUCCUCGGAGUCCAGAGUCCUCGAAGGGAAAACUGACACAAAGAAGCAGCAGGUAAAUGAAGGAGAAAAGAAAAGAACAAAAUCCACCGGGAACCAGAGACUUCCAGGCUCCAAAGACAGGCAAUCUCCACCAGGAAGCAUUUCACUAAAUUCUUGGAGGAGUCUGAGAGAACUUGGGGGCGCUUGAGGAACCCAAAGGUGUGAAGUAAAAGCUGGAAACCAAGAUUGCUGGGAAAGUUCAGAGAAAGUAGAGAUACUUCGUUUGAUGGAGAUCACAUGCAAGGGAGUCUACUCCAAGAUCAAAGGCAACCUAUAGCAAUUUAUGAGAAAUGAAGGAAGUGGGAGAGAUGCUAAGUUACUUUAAGGGAUGUUCUGAAAUCAUGAAUCUAGCUGGAAUAGCUGGUGUUGGCUGUGUCCAGAAGAGCUGGGACAAGUACAGACAGGAUUUCCACAUGUCGCCAGGCUGAUCUCAGACCUGGAUCUUCCCACCUCAGCCUCUGAACGUGCUGGGAUUACAGUUGAAGGUCUGGAAUGGAAACUCCUAUUGUGAUCUUAAGGGCUGUAACCCAGAGAAUCUGGUUCUUCCUGGAGUAUUUCAGCAGGGAUCAGCUUAAAUAGGUCCACUUGAAGUUCACAACUGCCAAAACCGCGUGUUCAGACUGAAAGGCUGGGAGCAUUUCAGACGCAUUUAUGAACUUCCACCAAGAUGAUCCGGCAGGCUGAAAUCGCAGGGAGAGCGUCUGUUCAACAAACCCUUUCUUCUUGAUUGAAUUAGUGUUGCCCACUAACAGGAUGAGGAAUUCCCACUCCACAAGCUGACUUUUUUUCCUCUUUCCACCUCCCGCCUCCCUCCAUUAAAAUGUAAACUUGA